GUGGGGAAUAUUGGACAAUGGGCGAAAGCCUGAUCCAGCCAUGCCGCGUGUGUGAAGAAGGUCUUCGGAUUGUAAAGCACUUUAAGUUGGGAGGAAGGGCAGUAAGUUAAUACCUUGCUGUUUUGACGUUACCGACAGAAUAAGCACCGGCUAACUUCGUGCCAGCAGCCGCGGUAAUACGAAGGGUGCAAGCGUUAAUCGGAAUUACUGGGCGUAAAGCGCGCGUAGGUGGUUUUGUAAGUUGGAGGUGAAAUCCCCGGGCUCAACCUGGGAACUGCCUCCAAAACUACAUGACUAGAGUACGGUAGAGGGUAGUGGAAUUUCCUGUGUAGCGGUGAAAUGCGUAGAUAUAGGAAGGAACACCAGUGGCGAAGGCGACUACCUGGACUGAUACUGACACUGAGGUGCGAAAGCGUGGGGAGCAAACAGGAUUAGAUACCCUUGUAGUCC
Molecule: ribosomal RNA, 450 nt
Filed under: uncultured bacterium
Lineage: Bacteria
Description: partial 16S ribosomal RNA
Rfam family: Bacterial small subunit ribosomal RNA
Source: RNAcentral